This 1382-nucleotide ribosomal RNA is filed under the name Providencia rettgeri. RNAcentral's name for it is "partial 23S ribosomal RNA". It matches the Rfam family "Bacterial large subunit ribosomal RNA", at positions 1568 to 2925 of the family's 2925-position model. Lineage: Bacteria; Pseudomonadati; Pseudomonadota; Gammaproteobacteria; Enterobacterales; Morganellaceae. The record is from RNAcentral.
GACGAGUCACUACGGUGAUGAAGUAGCUCAUGCCCCGCUUCCAGGAAAAGCCUCUAAGCUCUAGAUUAUCAUUAAUCGUACCCCAAACCGACACAGGUGGUCAGGUAGAGAAUACUCAGGCGCUUGAGAGAACUCGGGUGAAGGAACUAGGCAAAAUGGUGCCGUAACUUCGGGAGAAGGCACGCUGGCGCUAGGUGAAGUCCCUCGCGGAUGGAGCUGAAGCCAGUCGCAGAUACCAGCUGGCUGCAACUGUUUAUUAAAAACACAGCACUGUGCAAACACGAAAGUGGACGUAUACGGUGUGACGCCUGCCCGGUGCUGGAAGGUUAAUUGAUGGGGUUAUCCGUAAGGAGAAGCUCUUGAUCGAAGCCCCAGUAAACGGCGGCCGUAACUAUAACGGUCCUAAGGUAGCGAAAUUCCUUGUCGGGUAAGUUCCGACCUGCACGAAUGGCGUAAUGAUGGCCAGGCUGUCUCCACCCGAGACUCAGUGAAAUUGAACUCGCUGUGAAGAUGCAGUGUACCCGCGGCAAGACGGAAAGACCCCGUGAACCUUUACUAUAGCUUGACACUGAACAUUGAGCCUUGAUGUGUAGGAUAGGUGGGAGGCUUUGAAGUGUGGACGCCAGUCUGCAUGGAGCCAACCUUGAAAUACCACCCUUUAAUGUUUGAUGUUCUAACGUAGCCCCGUUAUCCGGGGUGCGGACAGUGUCUGGUGGGUAGUUUGACUGGGGCGGUCUCCUCCCAAAGAGUAACGGAGGAGCACGAAGGUUGGCUAAGCAUGGUCGGACAUCAUGCGGUUAGUGCAAAGGCAUAAGCCAGCUUGACUGCGAGAGUGACGGCUCGAGCAGGUACGAAAGUAGGUCUUAGUGAUCCGGUGGUUCUGAAUGGAAGGGCCAUCGCUCAACGGAUAAAAGGUACUCCGGGGAUAACAGGCUGAUACCGCCCAAGAGUUCAUAUCGACGGCGGUGUUUGGCACCUCGAUGUCGGCUCAUCACAUCCUGGGGCUGAAGUAGGUCCCAAGGGUACGGCUGUUCGCCGUUUAAAGUGGUACGCGAGCUGGGUUUAGAACGUCGUGAGACAGUUCGGUCCCUAUCUGCCGUGGGCGUUGGAAGAUUGAAAGGGGCUGCUCCUAGUACGAGAGGACCGGAGUGGACGCACCACUGGUGUUCGGGUUGUCAUGCCAAUGGCAUUGCCCGGUAGCUAAGUGCGGAAGAGAUAACCGCUGAAAGCAUCUAAGCGGGAAACUUGCCUUGAGAUGAGUCUUCCCUGACUCUUUAAGGGUCCUAAAGGAACGUUUAAGACUAAGACGUUGAUAGGUUGGGUGUGUAAGCGUAGCGAUACGUUGAGCUAACCAAUACUAAUGAACCGUGAGGCUUAACCUG